GUUUGCCUACGGGGGGCAGCAGUGGGGAAUAUUGGACAAUGGGGGAAACCCUGAUCCAGCGACGCCGCGUGAGUGAAGAAGUAUUUCGGUAUGUAAAGCUCUAUCAGCAGGGAAGAAAGAAAUGACGGUACCUGACUAAGAAGCCCCGGCUAACUACGUGCCAGCAGCCGCGGUAAUACGUAUGGAGCAAGCGUUAUCCGGAUUUACUGGGUGUAAAGGGAGCGCAGACGGCAAGGCAAGUCUGAUGUGAAAGUCCG
This 257-nucleotide ribosomal RNA is filed under the name uncultured bacterium. Its description in RNAcentral is "partial 16S ribosomal RNA". It matches the Rfam family "Bacterial small subunit ribosomal RNA", at positions 333 to 604 of the family's 1533-position model. The record is from RNAcentral.